UCAUGUUGUCCUUUAUUCAGAAAUCAAUGGAUGCAUUGGAAAUUAAGAAUUGGUACAACUUGACAGCUGAAUUCAAUUUUUUUUGCAUUUCAAAAUUCAUUCCCCUUUUCAAUUCCCAAAUUUUCCCUAUAUAUGUUGGAGAGAGAUGCAGAAAAAUUCUCAUAGAUCUUAGGGUAGCAAAGAGAGAGGAAACAGUUUUCUUCUUGUUGCAAUAUUUAGUCAUGGUGUAGCUAGCUCCGUUCGCUCCCUACAACAAAGAAGAUGAUGAUGUUAAACAACAACAAGAAGAAGAAGCAGAGCAUGACAAAGUCAUCCAUUUUAAAUCGUUUAUGUUAUUCCUUCCACAACUAAUUAUCGACGAAUGGACUAUAUAACCUUUUUUUUAUAAUCUAGUUAGUUGCUUAUGAAUAAAGAAUAACAAGGCCUUGCUCGGCUGCAGUUGUACUUUUUUCAUGUAUUCUUAUUGAAUAAAACAAUAACAAGGCCUUGUUCGACUU
Molecule: long non-coding RNA, 497 nt
Organism: Solanum pennellii
Lineage: Eukaryota; Viridiplantae; Streptophyta; Magnoliopsida; Solanales; Solanaceae
Exons: 2
Source: RefSeq, a predicted model, not a curated record